CGCUGUUAUAAGUUUAUUUUAUUAGAACUAUAAUUUACUUUAAUUUUUAAUUAAAUGUAUUUCAAGUCAAGGUGCAGCUUAUAAUGAAGUGGAGGUGGGUUACAAUAUAUUUAUAUAAACGGAUUUGAAUUUUAAAAUUUUUAUUGAAGGUGGAUUUAAUAGUAAUUUUGGUUAUAGAGCCAAUUUGAUUUUAGUUCUAAAAUAAGUACACAUCGCCCGUCGCUCUA
Molecule: ribosomal RNA, 227 nt
Filed under: Lamachodes sp. 1 SB-2021
Lineage: Eukaryota; Metazoa; Arthropoda; Insecta; Phasmatodea; Lonchodidae
Description: partial small subunit ribosomal RNA
Source: RNAcentral